CAACUGCAACACUUCAGAAGUUAUUUGUGGAGUAAGAUGUUCGACCAUACAGUGAAUAAUUCGAAGCUAGGGAGAACAGGUUAGAGUCUGGUAUGAAGAAGAAAGGGAAGGAAAGGAAUAGUUUUGAAGCUCAGCGCUAGAACGACUCGAUGUCCAUGCCAGGGUACCCCGAGUGGGGCUUGAAAUCCUGCGUCUCAGUGCCUUACAGGGAAUGGUAGAAACUGGAAAAUCUACAAGUAAAGUAUUGGGACCUCCUAAUUUUCCUUUUAGAUGGAGGAAAACGGGCUGGGAUUCCCUGCAGCACUUAGCACACGCUGCUAUGAGUAACACGAUCUGGAAAGACAGCGCUAGCAAGGAAUGAGGAGUGAUACAGUGACUGGAGGCUAAGAGAUAAUGUCUGCAAGUCACCUAAAACCAUUGCAGACACAGGGAGAUUGAUGGAUUUGGAGGACUUCUGGUUGUGAAGACUCUGACGAUUGCUAAAGAGGACUGGCAGACUGGUGGAUAUGUGCAUCUUGCAAGCUAAAACACAUGCCAGGCACAGGUCAUGGCACAACUGGCUGAUAAACCAAGUGGCUGGAAGGAACAGCUGUGUUAAUUAAUUACUUCACUCACUGCCACCUGAGACCAACUUCAGCUGAUCCUCACUGCUCAUGUCCAAGUGAACUUUUCUAUAUUCACAGAUUCCCUGAAUGGGUAUCUUCAAAAUGGAGCAUAAGUUAUUUUAUGUCUGGAAAGGGCUGGGGAAAGACUGAUAACCUGAUCACAUUUAAGAUUUAACAUGUGCGUAGCUGAAGUCUCUGUUUGGUG
This 810-nucleotide long non-coding RNA is filed under the name Pan troglodytes (chimpanzee). RNAcentral describes it as "long non-coding RNA NONPTRT003550". Lineage: Eukaryota; Metazoa; Chordata; Mammalia; Primates; Hominidae. The record is from RNAcentral.